This 355-nucleotide long non-coding RNA is filed under the name Gossypium raimondii (Peruvian cotton). RNAcentral describes it as "long non-coding RNA (GRAI_LNC006887)". The record is from RNAcentral. Lineage: Eukaryota; Viridiplantae; Streptophyta; Magnoliopsida; Malvales; Malvaceae.
GAAGGCUCCAAGAAGCAAGAGACCAGGGAGUUCAACAAAGGACCAGCUCCUUGACCUUGUCACGAAUAUGAGUGCUUGACUGAUGAUACUCACUUGAAGGUAGAGAGCUGAAGUUAACUCAUUUGCGUUUUCGUUUAUCGGUUUCACUCCAAACUUCUCCUGCAAAUAUGGAAGAAAAUGUUCACUUUUUGUAUUUUUCGUUUUCCCCUCUUGGUUUGGUUGAUUUUUUUGGUCAGUGUGAUUCACUUACAGUGAAGAACAGCGUGUCGUGGACCAGCCAGAAAAAUAUCACGCUCACAAUCGCCAUGUAAGCCCCGAGGACGACCCCAGUGAUGAAGAUUUCCUUCAACUUCCA